AAAUUGAAGAGUUUGAUCAUGGCUCAGAUUGAACGCUGGCGGCAGGCCUAACACAUGCAAGUCGAACGGUAACAGGAAGCAGCUUGCUGCUUCGCUGACGAGUGGCGGACGGGUGAGUAAUGUCUGGGAAACUGCCUGAUGGAGGGGGAUAACUACUGGAAACGGUAGCUAAUACCGCAUAAUGUCGCAAGACCAAAGAGGGGGACCUUCGGGCCUCUUGCCAUCGGAUGUGCCCAGAUGGGAUUAGCUUGUUGGUAGGGUAACGGCUCACC
Molecule: ribosomal RNA, 272 nt
Filed under: Escherichia coli
Lineage: Bacteria; Pseudomonadati; Pseudomonadota; Gammaproteobacteria; Enterobacterales; Enterobacteriaceae
Description: partial 16S ribosomal RNA
Rfam family: Bacterial small subunit ribosomal RNA
Source: RNAcentral